This 1316-nucleotide ribosomal RNA is filed under the name uncultured Alphaproteobacteria bacterium. RNAcentral's name for it is "uncultured alpha proteobacterium 16S ribosomal RNA". It matches the Rfam family "Bacterial small subunit ribosomal RNA", at positions 33 to 1395 of the family's 1533-position model. The record is from RNAcentral. Lineage: Bacteria; Pseudomonadati; Pseudomonadota; Alphaproteobacteria.
ACGCUGGCGGCACGCCUAACACAUGCAAGUCGAACGAAGUAGCAAUACUUAGUGGCAGACGGGUGAGUAACAUGUAGGUAUCUGCCCUUUGGCCUGGAAUAACACGAGGAAACUUGUGCUAAUACCGGAUAAGUCUUUACGGAGAAAGCUUUAUGCACCAUUGGAUGAGCCUGCACUUGAUUAGUUUGUUGGUGGGGUAAUGGCCUACCAAGACUGUGAUCAAUAGCUGAUUUGAGAGGAUGAUCAGCCACAUUGGGACUGAGACACGGCCCAAACUCCUACGGGAGGCAGCAGUGGGGAAUCUUGCACAAUGGAGGAAACUCUGAUGCAGCGAUGCCGCGUGAGUGAAGAAGGCCCUUGGGUUGUAAAGCUCUUUCGUCGGGGAAGAAAAUGACUGUACCCGAAUAAGAAGGUCCGGCUAACUUCGUGCCAGCAGCCGCGGUAAUACGAAGGGACCUAGCGUAGUUCGGAAUUACUGGGCUUAAAGAGUUCGUAGGUGGUUGAAAAAGUUAGUGGUGAAAUCCCAGAGCUUAACUCUGGAACUGCCAUUAAAACUUUUCAGCUAGAGUAUGAUAGAGGAAAGCAGAAUUUCUAGUGUAGAGGUGAAAUUCGUAGAUAUUAGAAAGAAUACCAAUUGCGAAAGGCAGCUUUCUGGAUCAUUACUGACACUGAGGAACGAAAGCAUGGGUAGCGAAGAGGAUUAGAUACCCUCGUAGUCCAUGCCGUAAACGAUGUGUGUUAGACGUUGGAAAUUUAUUUUCAGUGUCGCAGGGAAACCGAUAAACACACCGCCUGGGGAGUACGACCGCAAGGUUAAAACUCAAAUGAAUUGACGGGGACCCGCACAAGUAGUGGAGCAUGUGGUUUAAUUCGAAGAUACGCGCAGAACCUUACCAACACUUGACAUGUUCGUCGCGACUCUAAGAGAUUAGAGUUUUCGGUUCGGCCGGACGAAACACAGGUGCUGCAUGGCUGUCGUCAGCUCGUGUCGUGAGAUGUUGGGUUAAGUCCCGCAACGAGCGCAACCCUCACUUUUAGUUGCCAUCAUUAAGUUGGGCACUCUGAAAGAACUGCCAGUGAUAAGCUGGAGGAAGGUGGGGAUGACGUCAAGUCCUCAUGGCCCUUACGUGUUGGGCUACACACGUGCUACAAUGGUAUCUACAACAGGAAGCAAGACUGCGAAGUUAAGCAAAUCCCUAAAAGAUACCUCAGUUCGGAUUGCACUCUGCAACUCGAGUGCAUGAAGCUGGAAUUACUAGUAAUCGUGGAUCAGCGUGCCACGGUGAAUGCGUUCCCGGGUCUUGUACACACCGCCC